RNAcentral lists this unclassified non-coding RNA (550 nucleotides) under Cladosporium allicinum. RNAcentral describes it as "sequence contains 18S rRNA gene, ITS1, 5.8S rRNA gene, ITS2, 28S rRNA gene". The stretch from base 199 to 352 matches the Rfam family "5.8S ribosomal RNA". Lineage: Eukaryota; Fungi; Ascomycota; Dothideomycetes; Cladosporiales; Cladosporiaceae. The record is from RNAcentral.
UCGUAACAAGGUCUCCGUAGGUGAACCUGCGGAGGGAUCAUUACAAGAACGCCCGGGCUUCGGCCUGGUUAUUCAUAACCCUUUGUUGUCCGACUCUGUUGCCUCCGGGGCGACCCUGCCUUCGGGCGGGGGCUCCGGGUGGACACUUCAAACUCUUGCGUAACUUUGCAGUCUGAGUAAACUUAAUUAAUAAAUUAAAACUUUUAACAACGGAUCUCUUGGUUCUGGCAUCGAUGAAGAACGCAGCGAAAUGCGAUAAGUAAUGUGAAUUGCAGAAUUCAGUGAAUCAUCGAAUCUUUGAACGCACAUUGCGCCCCCUGGUAUUCCGGGGGGCAUGCCUGUUCGAGCGUCAUUUCACCACUCAAGCCUCGCUUGGUAUUGGGCAACGCGGUCCGCCGCGUGCCUCAAAUCGUCCGGCUGGGUCUUCUGUCCCCUAAGCGUUGUGGAAACUAUUCGCUAAAGGGUGUUCGGGAGGCUACGCCGUAAAACAACCCCAUUUCUAAGGUUGACCUCGGAUCAGGUAGGGAUACCCGCUGAACUUAAGCAUAUC